AGGGGUGUAGCCAAAUGGGAAGGCAACCGGUUUUGACCCAGUCAUGAGCAGGUUCGAUCCCUGCCACCCCCGCCA
RNAcentral lists this transfer RNA (75 nucleotides) under Achromobacter anxifer. RNAcentral's name for it is "tRNA-Gln". It matches the Rfam family "tRNA". From Rfam's summary of the family: Transfer RNA (tRNA) molecules are approximately 80 nucleotides in length. Their secondary structure includes four short double-helical elements and three loops (D, anti-codon, and T loops). Further hydrogen bonds mediate the characteristic L-shaped molecular structure. tRNAs have two regions of fundamental functional importance: the anti-codon, which is responsible for specific mRNA codon recognition, and the 3' end, to which the tRNAs corresponding amino acid is attached (by aminoacyl-tRNA synthetases). tRNAs cope with the degeneracy of the genetic code in two manners: having more than one tRNA (with a specific anti-codon) for a particular amino acid; and 'wobble' base-pairing, i.e. permitting non-standard base-pairing at the 3rd anti-codon position. Lineage: Bacteria; Pseudomonadati; Pseudomonadota; Betaproteobacteria; Burkholderiales; Alcaligenaceae. The record is from RNAcentral.